RNAcentral lists this ribosomal RNA (118 nucleotides) under Pteropus alecto (black flying fox). The record is from RNAcentral. Lineage: Eukaryota; Metazoa; Chordata; Mammalia; Chiroptera; Pteropodidae.
AUCUAUGGCCAUGCCACCCUGAACAAGCCAAUCCCGUCUGUUCUCAGAAGCUAAGCAGGGUCAGGCCUGGUUAGUACUUGGAUGGGAGACCACCUAGGAAGACCAGGUGCUGUAAGAG